RNAcentral lists this long non-coding RNA (270 nucleotides) under Gossypium raimondii (Peruvian cotton). RNAcentral describes it as "long non-coding RNA (GRAI_LNC005804)". The record is from RNAcentral. Lineage: Eukaryota; Viridiplantae; Streptophyta; Magnoliopsida; Malvales; Malvaceae.
AGAUAGUUGAGAGAAAAGAGAAGGUUUUUUUUAAAAGGAGGUUGCAAAGGAUUUUUUUUUUAAGUUUUUUUAACUUAUAUAAACAUCCCAAAACGACGUCGUUUUGGGCUUUGCUUCUGACACCCAAAAUGGCGUCGUUUCACCCUAGGAACCGCGUGUUGACCCGACCCGCCAAGGAGGAUCCGCGUGUUUUUUUAUUAAUGGGCAAUUUGCGCAUUUGGUCCUUCCGCAUUUUCUAUCUUUUUAAUACAGUUUAUUUUUAUUUUCAAU